AGUGAGCUGCUAUUCAGACUCAGAAAGUAGCUUGGAGAAUACUCCAGACGUUAGGCUUUGCGAGUUUUUGUUUGUUUACAUAGAAAAGUCUCUUUUAAAUUUCCUUAUUCUUACACUGCAAAGAGACCUAACCUUGAUGGGUCCCAUCUGCAAUGCUCCUCCUGAAAAGAGACAGAGCUGUUUAACUGAACUGACCUAUUUGGAGGACGAAUAGACUGAUUGAAAAAGGUGCCCAGGAAGUCCUGGAACUGAGUCCUGGGGCAAGGUUCUGGAAGUUGGGACAAGAAGAUUCCUAGAAAAGAGGAAAACAAUCACUCUAGAACUGUUAUAAGCAUGCUAACCAGGACUUCAGAGAAAGGAAAAAAAAAGGCUGAACCUCGCUGGUGAUUCAGAUGGAUCAUGAGGAUCUUUCAACAAAGCUAAGUUCCCGUCUUUUAACGCAGUUAUUCUCAUACUUUUAUACUGAAAUAUCCAGAAUAGCAAAUGAGUUAAAUAUGUUUUCUGUGGGGUUCUGUACAAAGAAGAUUUAGAGCUUUAUGAACCUAAAAUAACAUAUCACAAGGAGAAAAUUUACUUGAAGUGGGAGACUUGGCUUAAAAGCAUCUAAUAUAAAUUGUAUAUUAUAUUCAAUAAUACAAAAGCAAUGCUUUAUUUAGAAUGAAUUAAAAUGCAUGCUUCAGACAAAAUGCAUGAUGUUUAGCUUUUGAUUUACUGAAUAUACUAUUCAACAGAUGUUUGAGUUACAUAGUUUGAGGAGCACAGGCCUUUGGUAUUGAUGGCUCCUGUUAAAAUAAAAACAUGUUUUCUGAGAGCAUAAUCAUAUGAAACCAGGAGCACAUAUUAACAUAAAACUCAAAUCACUUCCCCUGACUUUCUUCUUUCAAAUGUAAAGAAAGUGGGAAACAGGACAGAUGAAUUUGAAGAAACAGAAGAGCUCAGGAAAGUUCAAAGCAUGAAGCAAACUCAAAAGUAUAUCUAAAUACCUAGGGAGCACCUUCAAAGCACAAGGUACCUGAAGAUGAAACGGCAGAAGUGAAAAGAAUUGCUCGUGUAGUACAGGGCUAAAAUUGUACCUGAAGCAUCUCUGCUGCUAUCCCAGGAGAAGAAGAGUCGACAGUAGCUAUGGUAAACAUGCAUGGAAGCAUCAGGGAAAACAGAAAUUUAGAGAAGCAGAUAGAGUGAGCCCAAGGCAAGAUAAGGGUUUCUGGGUCUGAAUUUCAGAAAAGCCUGACUAUGGAGAGUGGGAGUUCCUGUUUUCUUUCAGUGACUUGCUAAUUUCAAUUUUGUGUGUGUGUGGCAUUAACAGAUUUUUGCCUAACUUGGGACAUUUUUAACAGUAGAGGAACUCUUCUGUCAGUUCUGAUAUGGUAAUUUUAAAACACAUAUUCUUUAACUGAACAUUCAUUAAAUCACUUGGCCAGGAAUCCAAAUAACAAAAUGUCUGUCAUGGAAUUCUGUGUGUAAUAGGAGUUAUGUAACUUGUUUCUUCUUAGUAGAGAGAAUAAAAAGUAAAGUCAAAACCACCCCCAGAUGACCAUUUUUAGCACUUUCAUUUUAUCGGGAGAGGUGAGCAACAUGCAGAAAAUAUAUAUUCUUGAAUUAAUCUCCUUUGGGUACAGAGAGAAAAGAGCUCAUUAUUCUUCUAACUGGCAACGUUUGAUUUUAUUGACACCCUAACAGUAUGUCAAUUGCUCAGUAUAUCUCCCUAGGCUGUAGUCUUGCAGACUUUCUUUUUUCUUUUUUUUUUUAACUUACCAAUUCUAUGAUGUAUUCCCAUGGAUGUCUCUUUUUAUGCUAUUUUACAAUCUAUUUCUAGAAUAAUCAUGGAAAUUUCAAUGGAAACAACAUAUCACAUUCUCUGUCUACUACAUAAGUAUGUCUUUUUUAUUUGUAAAUAGAUCAUAUUUUGCACAUAAUUAGGUAAUACCCACAUAUCUCAAUUUGGCUUAGGAAUUAUAUUGAAAGAUAGAAUUGCAUAAGGGUAGGGAUUUUACUUUUAAAUUAUUUUCAUGUCUCCAUGGAUUGGCUCUGUGCUUUACACCCAGUAGCUGUGAAACAAGUACUUAUUUAAUGAUGAAUGAAUAAAUAAAUAAAUAGUUAAAUGCAGCAACAAAAAUGUUGGUAGAUAUAUAGGAUUGUAGAAUCUAAUUGCUUAGUAGGAUCAUCAAGUUCUACCCAAAUUUGGUGUGGCAAACAGAACAAUGGUCCCUUAAGGAUGGCCUAGUCCUAACCUCCCAAACCUGGAAUAUGUUACCUUAUGUAACAAAGAGACUUUGCAGAUGUAAUUAAGUUAAUGAUCUUAAGACAGAAAUAUUAUUCUAAGUGAACUCAAUGAAAUUACAAUGAACAAUGUUCCUUAAAAGAGGAAGGCAAAAGUUCAGAAUGAAACACACAGACACACAUAAAGUGGCUACGAAAGCAGAAGUAGUGAGAGAUUUGAAGAUGCUACCUUACUAGAUUCAAAGACAGAGGAAGGGGUUAAAAUCUGAGGAAAUCAGGCAAGGCAGCCUUUCGAAGCUGCAGAAGAUGAGGAAAUGAAUUCUCCCUAGAACUUCCAGAUAGAAACAGCCCUACUGAUGCCUUGACAUUAGCUCAGUGAAACGUAUUUUCAGACUCUAACUUCCAGAUCUGUAGGAGAUAAAUUUGUGUUGUUUAAGCUACUACAUUUGUGGCAGUUUGUCAAAGUAGCAAAAGGAAACGUAUAUUUGGUAGGCAUCAGAAUUUCCUGAGCAAUAUAGUGUGAUUACCUUUGAAAAUUCUACUCAGCAGUCCUGGAAUUGCAGCCUGAAAUUUGAAAUUUACUAAGUGCUCCCACUAUAUCUGAGUCAGGAAUUACCUAGGAAACCAUGAUAUAUUGCAUUACACUAAUUUUGUACUUGAGAAAAAGCACAAUGUUAAAAUCUCAAGAACAUUAAUAUAGACUUAAGUACAAUUUAUCAUGUAAAAACAUAUUUGAAAAAGUAAGCCUGAAAAAAAGAAACAACUGAACUAUUAACACUAUAUUCUCUAACUAUAUAUUGAUUUUCUCCUUUUGCUUUUACACAGCGAACCACAUAUACUUUCACAGAGGGUGAUUUGGAUAAUAUGUUCCAUGCAUUGCUCCAAGCAGAAAUUCUCAAUCUAUCAUUUCUGCUUGUAUUAUUUUACACCUCUUAAAGACAUUCACAUUCCAUCACAGGGAGCCAAAAUCAGCCUGUUAUAUCUCUGUUUGCGAAUACCGCAAUACUUACUUUACUUUCUCCUGAAUAGAUUGUUAGUGGUUUUUAUUAUCUCCUGUAAAGAGUGUGAGAAAUGCAUGUUGCAAGGACACUUUUGUUUUAUUCACAUUAUUCUACUGAAUCAUGCUAACCAUAGCAUUACAUCUAUUUAUCUAUCUAGCUAUUAAACAUAUUCAGAAUACCUAACAACUUUAGGGGCAUUCAGUAUAUAGAAUAUGCUAGUAUUUGUUAUUUUCUAAAAAUUAAUAAUUAAGAAUGUCAUUCUAUUAUUGCAUUAGUGACUUAGUUAAAAUUUAGACCAUUAACAAAAAAGAGAUGAAAAAAAAAACAAAAAACAUUAGGCACUAAAGGAGUCCUCAGCAAUGGCUUUUUCAAAAUGAUAAUUUGGCAUCAUAAAGCGGGUAUUUGGUAACCAUACUCUAUUACAGAACAGCAAAUGGAAUUUAUGUUCUAUUUUCCCAUAUCCACUUCUUUACUAUAAUUUAGCAAUCAUUGUAAUUCUUACUAUAUAGUUAUUUCAAAUUUGAUAUGAUUCUUAAAGAUGCUCUGAUAGUAACAUUUUCUUUAGUGCCUCAUGUCACUCUCUCUCUCUUUCUUUAAAAAAUAAGUUGUCUUUACAGGAACAAAUUUCACUAUAGAUGCCUGACUUUCUCCUUUCAAAAUGAUUAUUGAAACUCAUUGAGAUCUGGCACUCUGUGUUUCUUAUUUUUAUUCCGUACGUAGGAAAAAAAGAACUCAGAGACACACAUGGUUUUAAGAGGCUGUGACUGUCAACUCUGCCCCUUCCUAUUGAAUAUUGAAGCCUUUAUGUUAUUGAAUACAUUGAAUAUAUUGCAAAUUGGAACCCCAUUAAUAGGAUUCUAAGAAGCCUUACUACUAGAUCUGGAUUCUAAGCCUCCUUGCUUGUAUGAUAGGUUAUUGUCUGAGACAUUAAGCAACUAGACCUAUGUUGGGACACUUGCUUCACAAGGUAAUGCGAUGUAUUAAUAAUGAGGAAAGAAAAAUUGCCCUGCUUGUGCUAGUGAGGAUCUUGAGCACUCUCUAUUUUCUCUUCACUCCUGCUUUAGUGGUUGCAGAAAAGAUUUUUUUUCUGUCAGAUGUACAUGCAGUAGCAAAAAAUUGAAGCAUCUUUCCUCACUAAUGAGCUGCAAAAUUUAACAGUUUGGGGGAGUCUCCAUGGAAACUUUUUAAUAUGGUGACCUAUGAGUGCUAAAUGUGUAUGAGGUGACAAUUCCUUCUACAUGGAAGACUGUCACAGAUAGCAUAUGGUAGGACUUUAUGAAAGCCACUAAAAUUAUUUCUGCCUCAGUUUCCAUCACUAUAAAGGCAUAAUCAUAUAAUCUCCAGUCAUAAGGAUUACUGAGAUAAUCUUUAAAUUUGCAUUAAAUUCCUUGGAGAUAGGCAUUAUAUAAAUAGGAAGCUCCAUAUUAAAUGAACAAAAUUUCAAUAAAGAGUGGCUACACUUAAUGGAUACAAUGUGGUCUGAAAUUUAAGUAAUUGACCAGAAAUCAGGACUUGGGACCAAUUACUGGACAUCCAAUUUGUGUCAUUUGAGAGAAAUUGCAUAGAACAUUCUUUCCUCAUUUUCAACAUUUACUUAUUACAUGAAGUAGAUAAUUUAACACUAAAUAAGGCUAUAGUUACAUUUUCUCCAUGUGUCACUGCAGGCUGCAAAAAAAAGUAUUAUAUUAAAUUAAUAGUCAGAAUCUUUCCCCAAAUGAUGAUAAUUGGAUCUCUGAUUGAAAGGACACCAAAGAAAUGGCUAGAGAAAAUAUAGCUCUGUCCUCAGUAUAUAGUAUUUUUAAUAAUAAUCUAUAUUUUUAAAGUAUUACAUCAUGUUCACUCCAAGAAGGGAGAAAAGAGCUCAAAACAUAUCUGGUGGCACAUCUGUAGUCCCAGCUACUUGGGAGAUUGAGGCAGGAGGAUCACUUUAGCCCAGGAAUUUAAGGCUGCUGUAAGCUAUGAUUGCACCUGUGAAUAGCUACUGUACUACAGCCUGGGCAAUAUAGGAGGAUACUGUCUCUUAAAAAAACAAAACAAAAUAUCUGACAUUUAGCUUAUAAAUCUCAUGUAUUAAUGGUUCAUAUUUCUGUUAUUCAUGCUGACAUAAUUAUUGUGAAGUCUUUUUGCAUGUGAUAAGAAUCUAUAUUCUUAUUCAAUAUCUAUUAAAUAUAUGGUACUCUGCUAGAGUAUUCUGAUGGACUCAGGGUAGAAAAAUGACUAAAACAACAGCUAUCUGAAUUUCUCUAUCUUAAUCAGUAUGCAUAGUGUUAACCUUAUAUAAGAAUGUCCCUAUAGUUAAUCAUUUGUGGUUUCAUUAAGCAGUAUUGAAGCUUUUAGAAGAAAUCACACAUACUGUGAUUUAAGGAAGCCUGGCAGUUACAACAGAAAAAAGAAGCUGAUUCAUGUAGAAUGUCUUGAAAUUUUGUCACUGGUAAUUUUGGCAAGAACAUUAUUAAUGUUAAGAUUUGUUUAUAACCAAUGAGAACACAUGGACACAGGGAGGGGAACAUCACACACCAGGGCCUGUCGGGGUUGGAGGACCAGGGGAGGGAUAGCAUUAGGAGAAAUACCUAAUGUAGAUGAUGAGUUGAUGGGUGCAGCAAACCACCAUGGCACGUGUAUAGGCAUACACUGUAACAAACCUGGAUGUUCUGCACAUGUAUCCCAAAACUUAAAGAAUAAUUUUAAAAAGUUUUUUUUAAAGAUUUGUUUAUAAAAUGGCAAAUUGCUUAAUCAGGGGAAUCCUCAUUGAGUUGAGAAGUAUGAGCUGUGAAGUAUGUUUUGCUGGAAAUAAACUUGUAAGCCGCUACAUAUAUAUUCUCCAAACAGAAAUAAACGCAAACAUCAUUUACCUGGAGGACAGGUUGAGAAUGAGUUAUAGCCUAACAUGACAUACAUAAGAAACUAAAAAAAAAAAAAAAAAAAAAAAAAAAAAAACAGAAUGAGGAUGAUACAUGAUCCCAAAAUAGAAGUAAGCAUUUUUUGGACAGAAAAGAUUCUGAAAAACUUGUGUCCCAAUGGUUCAUCCUUGAAUUGUAUCAUUGCAACUACCCCUCCCUCAUACAUAUACCAUGUCCUCUUCAUGAUUCUGAGAAAUUUUGAAGACCAGAUUCAAGGGGGUUCACAAAUGCCACUAAGACCUUCAUGUUACUAAGAAUGAUUAGUAUAUCAGCCUGGAGAAGCACUUGCUACAGGUUAGGCAAAUUAGGGUCCCCUUAUAGAAGAUGAUUAAAGUAGACAGAAGGAAUAAAAUUAACGUAUUAUUCAAUAAAUCUUCCUUAUGUCUCAUCUGGCUAAAUAAAAGUCCUGGGAAUAUAUUUAUAACUAACCAUUAUGCAAGUUCUUUCAACCCAAAAUAUUUUCUCCCUAUAUUAACUCUAUGUACUCCCCUACACACACACAUAUAUCUCCUAAACUUUUUAAACUAUUCUAAGUUAUGUGCUAGGAAUUGUACUAGGCAUUUUACAAAUAUAAAUUCACGCUAUUUGUACAUUUAGAAAAGUAAGAUACAAGAUUAUUUUUAAUCAAUAUUGACAAAAUUUAUCUUCUUUUUAAACAUAUUGACUAAAUAGUUCAGAGUUCAAAGAUGAAUUAUGAUAAAGAGUGUUUAGCAAAAUGUUUACACAUAAAAUACUUUGAACUCACUAGCAAUGAAGCAAAUAUUAUAGCCCGAAGACUCUCAGGAAAUUUAAUCCAGAAUGGAGGAUACUAAGUGAUGUAUGGAACUGCUUAUUCUACUUAAACAUCAAAACUCCACAUGAAUCUUCGAAGUGUAUCUCUGCGCCUUAAAUGAAAACACAGUUUUGACAUUGUUUAUUGCCUCUUGAGAGGAAACUCUGCUCAAUUCAUAAGUGAAUCAUGAAUUACCCAAUUUUUUCUUCCAUGGGCUUCUCUCAGGGUGCCCCUUGGUUUAACUUCAUUAUGUACAAACAUGGUAUUACCUUCCAUAACACAAUAUUUCAUAUACAGAGUGAUAUAUCAUUUAGAUGACUCUUUAGACCAUCGUUUUGAAAGCUACAGUUUUCUGAGCUAACAAUUAUAUUAUAGCUAUAUAGAAAUAAUAAAACCUUUUUUUUUUCUUUUUUUGAGAUGGAGUCUCACUAUGUCGCCCAGGCUGGAGGGCAGUGGCGCGAUCUCAGCUCACUGCAACCUCCGCCUCUCAGGUUCAAGCGAUUCUCCUGCCUCAGCCUCCCGAGUAGCUGGGUCUGCAGGUGCGUGCCACCAUGCCCAGCUAAUUUUUUGUAUUUUUAGUAGAGACGGGAUUUCACUCUGUUAGCCAGGCUGGUCUCCAUCUCCUGACCUCGUGAUCCGCCCACCUCGUCCUCCCAAAGUGCUAGUAUUACAGGUGUGAGCCACUGCGCCAGGCCAGUAAAAUCUUUCUUAAUUAAACAGCCCUAUAUUGUGCAACUAUAAUAGAAUAUGUGAUAACUAAAUUCAAAGGGUGAGAGAAUCAUAAAAGUUAUCGUACAUGCCUAAACUUAUGUACCAAAAUGUGCUAUGUACAUGCAUACAACUAAGUGUACUAGGCUUUCAUCAGAAGUCCCUUUUAGUUAUCUGCAGCUGCUUUAUUCCUUUUUGUAGAUCCCUUAUAAUUAUAAAAAUAUUUUUAUAUACAUUCGAAAUAUCUUAUGAUUAUAUAUAGUUACACAUAUUUGAUAUAUAUUUAUAUAUGUAUUACAGCGAUGUAUUUCUGAUCAGUGUUUUCUAACAACCACAAAUAUGUGGAAUAUAACUUAUACAAAAAACAUUUUGGAUGACAUAACAACUCAGAAGUAAUAAUUUUCCACACCAAUGACCUGUCUCUACUUCUAAUAUAAAGAAGGCAUCAAGAAGUAUGCUUUCUUAAAUAUGCUCCCCUUCAGCUGACAGUUUAUUGGCUACCAAGACCUAUAGUGAGGAGCAAAUAUACAUUUCUUUAUUUAGAAUAUUGACCCUUGGGAGAGGUGUAUUUCAAAUGCAUUUUUUUUUUUUUUGCAGGCUUGAGUGGUUAAGCUUUUUAACGAUAUAAUUCUACAGAGAUCAUUUCUUCCAAUUUUCUUUAAUUUUCAGUUAAGUAAUCUGUGACCUACUAUACCUAUUCAUUUGGGGAGAAUUACAAUGCAAUUUCAAUUUCAAUUGAAGUCUCUGACCCUUAUUUACUGAAUCAUAAGUAUUUCAUCCGAUUGUAUUUGUGAGCCAAGAACACUUUCUACUUAUUUGGGGAUGCUUCUUUUUAUUAUUUCCUCAGGAUAAGACAAACUUAGUGAGUGGAAGACUAGUUGUGUGGGAGAAUAAUAACUUAUAAGACAGGUUUUCACCCAAGUGCCAUAGAAAGACUGUCAUACAUUGAUGAUGAUGUGAAAUGUGAAUUUAAGGCCUAUUGUUUAAUCCAUUGCUCUUUUUAAUACAUUGACUUUUUAGUGUGGUAGGGCAGCCGAGAAGUUAGCAAUAUUUCAUUAUUUCUCAAGUAAAUCAACUCAAAAGAUCAUUACCAAAAUAGUAAAAUUCCACGUAUUUUCACUAUCUGCCAAGUACUAAAACCCAGCGUCAUCUUGUCAUAAAAAAAUAGCAAUAUAUUGGAAUCCUUUUUGAAGUCUUCAGUGCCCAAAGUAUGGAAGAGAUCAGUUAACAAAAAUGCAUUAAGAGGAAGAAUAAUAGGAUUUAUGGAUCUACUUUUAGUUUUGUUUUGUUUUUGCAUUUUCAUAAUGUUUAUUGAUAUGGAGAUAUUACUUUUAAACAUGCUAUAGUUUAGCUUACAUUUAGAAUACAUUUCCUGUAAAUGAAAAUGCACAAUAGUAAGCAAAGUUACUAGUACGGAUUGACCAUUGAAAUCCCAAUGAGGGUUCCAGGAGAGUAAGCCCUUGGAAAAGUCUCUUGUUAUGAUGGAACCAGGAAAGUCACAAGCAUGACAAGGAAUAUGUUCUGUGAAAAGAUGCCCCACGUGUCCAAAUGCCUGGAGACACUGGAUGAUCUUUUUUCCAGAAACAACAACAGCAGUUUUAAAUAUGAUUCAGCAAUCCCAGUGAACUUCGAUAUUCAAAGAAUUAGAAAUCAGUAUAUUGACAUGACAACUACACUUCCAUGUUUAUUGCAGCACUAUUCACAAUAGCCAAGAUAUGGAGUCAACCUAAGUUGAUUAUCAACAUAUCAACAGAUGACUGGAUAAUGCAAAUGUGGUUUAUAGCACAAAGAAAUGCUAUUUAGCCUUAACAAAGAAAUUAUUGUCAUUUGCAGCAUCAUAGAUAGAUCUAGAUAACAUUACACUAAAUGAAAUAAACCAGGAACAGAAAGACAAGUAUUGUAUGAGCUCACUUAUAAUGGGGAAUCUAAAAAAAGUAGAAAUCACAGAAGCAGAGAGCAGAAUGGUGGUUACUAGAGGCAGGGGGUGGGAGACAUGAGCAAGGAAAGGGGAGAUGUUAAUCAAAGGAUACAAGGUUUCCUUUAGACAGGAGAAAUGAGUUCUAGUGAUCUACCGCACAGCGUAGUGCCUAUAGUUAAUAAUAAUGUAUUGCAUAUUUGAAAAUUGUUAAUAGGUUUUAAAUGUUCUCACCAAAAAUGAAUGAUAAAUAUAUGAGGUGAUAAUAUGUUAAUUAGCUACAUUUCAUCAUUCCACAGUGUAUACAUAUAUCAAUACAUCACAUUUUGCCCCAUAAAUAUAUAGAAUUAUUAUUAGUCAAUUAAAAUCAAAUAAAAUUUUGAAGGGCAGUGCUUAAAUUUCAUUAUUAUGCAAUAUACUACCUAUUUGAUCUUUGUCCAGUCACCCAGCCUCACUGUAUCAUUGUUCUCCUCUCCAAAAAAUAAAAUGCUAACCAAUUAAAGAGAAGCCAGAGGAAAGCAAAUAGAAGCAAAUUAAAGUAUGUUGCAUAUACAUAGUUAAAUUAUGAAUUAUCUACUUGUAUGUGAAUAGGACCCUCCGACAUGCACUCGUAUUUUUAAAAUAAAACAUAGCCUAGUGUUCCCCUGUUGGAAUUAUAAGCAUGUGCCACUCAGAAAUCAUAUGUCAGGAAAUAACUUUGCUCUGAAAACGUUCCAUAUUUUUUUCUUUUUAUAGAGUUCUGGACUACUUGGUAAUUCCACUUAUCAUUUGACAGAUUACUUAUCUGUGACCUGUUGUACCUAUUCAUUUGGAGGACAAAAUCAGUAGCCUCUUUAAGUGCAGUAAGAUUAGUGAUGACUUUGUUUGUCAUCACAAACCAAGACUGUUUUCAGGACAGUAAGUCCCACACCUAGGUUUCAGUGGAAUUUGAUUUGUAAGAACAAAUCAGUGCUUUGGAAAUGUCGUUCUUAUUUUAAUGAGUUUAUAAUUAAGCAGAACACAGGUUGUUUUCUUUGCAGAAUCCCACCCACAAGGAUUCUAUUGAUUUACUGUUUAAUUAUAUGAAAUAGCAUGUCAGGGUGAAGGUAAAGCAGAAAACAAAUUAUGAUCUAAUCUAAAAUGUAGAUCUAUAUUAGAAUGAGACUGCUGACCUGUGAAAUACAUUCAAAUAGUAUUUACCAAAAUCAUUCCUAUUGUCAAAAUGAUGAAGAGACAUUUUCUCUGGGUGUUGCAGUGGGGACUGAGACAGCAGAAGUCUCCAAAGGUAAUUGUGAACUUAAAACUCUAAAAUAAUUUCCACAUAUUUGCAUCACAAAAUAUAUUUUUCAUUGUAGAAAGAAUAAUUUAAGUCCCUCAAAGUUUUUUAAAUUAUUACUUAUAGAGGAUAUAGGUUCGGAGACAACAGUGUUGAAUGUAGAAGAACUACUGAAAUUAAAUGCAAGAAUAUUGAAGAUUACGGCUGAGCCUGUUUGUAGUUGCAAAUGUUAUUGCUUUCACUAAAAUUACUUUGAGACUAUUAUGUUGCCAUGAACCUUAUUCAAGUGGCAAGUUUUCUCACCCAAAGUAUGUUCAUCUUUCUCAAAUGAAAAAUUAUCCACAUAUAGAACAGGUAUUUACAAUCAUAAAGCAAAAAAUUAGUUAUUAUAUUUUAAUUAUUAUACCAGGUCCUAUAGGUAGCAUCCACUGAUGUAGCAUCAUUGAAUACUACUUUAUAUAAGACCUGGCAAAAUUACACAUAGGAAUUAGAAUUUUAAAGUGAACAAAACAAUUCCUUUUCUAUAAAAGCUAAAAAUGGCAUUCAAAUGUCAUUAACAUAAAUUAACAUAUAUGCAGAAUAUUGUAAGACCACCAAGGAGGACUCUACAAAGAAGAGGUAAUUAUUUUUAUAUGAAUGGCAGCUUAUUUUCAUAAUAAUAAUUAAUCACAUAUAAUCAUUGGCUUCAUGUGAUGUCCAUUUGUGAAAUAACAUGAUAGAACAUAAAAUGUGUGCUAAGGGUAGAUAAUAUUGGAAAUCUAGAAUAGUACUCAGUUGAGGAGAACCUUGAAGGUCAAACUAAGCCACUAGAUUAUUUUUACUUCCUUGGGGAACACAAAAAGUUUUGUUUACUCUUUCCAACUCUCCGGGAAAUGGCCUGUGUAAAGAAUGCUUAAGAAGUUUGAUCUGAAAAUACAUCUAGAAUAGUCCUAACUGGGCUGUUCUCAGGUACCUUACUUGGAGAUUCCAUAUGAUUUCAAAAGCAUUUCAAUGAUGAAAAGUCUAAAAGAACACAUCCCAAAGAAUAGGCAUGUUAGGAAAUGACUCAGAAUAUCCUACAACUGAUACUGAGAAAGAUGUAGAUCACAGGCUAGGCAAAAUUUUCUGAGGGGUGUGUGGGCAACUAUUAUGUUUUGUUUUGUUUAUUGUAUGUGUGUGUGUGUAUGUGUGUGUCUAUAUAGUUAUUGGAGCACAAGCAAGGGCAUACAUACUCUGGGGGAAAAAAAUCUUCCAAACUCCUUUUACAAGGCCAGCAGUACCCUCUUGCCAUAACUAGGUAAGGAUACUACAAGAAAAUAAAAUUAUAGACCAAUAGGCCUGAUUAAUGUAAAUGCAAAAACUCAAAAAAAAAAUCAAAUUCGGCUUCACUUUAAAAGGAUUAUGCAUCAUGAACAAGUGAAAUUUAUCCCUUGGAUGCAAGGAUGUUCAACAUGUGCAAAUCAAAAAAUGUGAUACACCAUGUUAACAGAAUGAAAAAUAAAAAACAAAUGAUAAUCUUAACGCAGAAAAAGUAUUUGGUAACAUUUAAUGUCUUUUCAUAACAAAAAAUUUCAACAAAUUAUGUACAUAAACAAUGUACCUCAACAUAGUAAGUGCCAUAUACUACAUAUAAUAAGCCUGUAACCAAUGUCAUAUUCAAUGUUAGAAAUCUGAAAGCUUUUCGUCUAUGAUGAGAAACAAGAUUAAGAUGCUCACACUUUCUACUUCUGUUCAAUAGAGUACUGGAAGUCCUACCCAGUCUAACUAGGCAAGAAGAAGAAAUAAAAGUCUUCUGAAUCAGAUAAGAAGUAAAAUUGACUCUGUUUGCAGGUGACAUGAUCUUAUUUAUAGAGAACCAUAAAGACUAUUGGAAAAAACUCUCAAAGGUCUUCCUCAAAAGGGAGCUUGCUAUUACAGUCUAUCUAGACUUGAAUGAGACAAAAGAAAAGCAAAAUGGGUCCUCCUUUGUGGAAAGACAAGGCAAAAGAAGAAGAGAGUUGAUUGCAUAAUGAAAAGGAGGCACAUGACUGAUGCCUGAUCCAAUGUCAGUGAGUUCUCCUGGUCCAGGGGUAAGCACAUGAAUUUCCAACUUUCUUGUCUUGAGAAAGCCAGAAAAGAAUAGCCUGGGCAUAACCUGAAGAAAUUUGAGAAAUUUCUCUCCCAGCUUCUACCUGGCUCCAGCUUUCAAGCCAAAAUCAGCUCCUGACUGUUCCAUCUCACUGCUAAACUAUUAUAUAAGGAGUGGAGGUUCUGGGACAAUUACAUUGCAUCCUUAUAAGACUAAGUCAGAGGAACAUAUGUCUAAUUAGAGUCUAUCUUAGUGCUGGCUGCUAUAACAAACUACAUUGGACUGGAUAAUUUAUAAACGACAGAAAUUUAUUGCUCACAGUUUUGCAGCCUGGGAAAUUCAAGACCAGCAGAUCGUCUGGUGAGAGCCUGACCCCCAUAGAUGAUGUUUUUGUGUCCUCACAUGACAGAAGGGGUAAACAAUCUCCCUUGGGCUUCUUUAAGGAGGACAUUAAUCUCAUUCACAAGGGUGGACCUCUUAUGACCUAAUUAUCCCCCAAAGGCCUAAAUCUCAAUAUUACCACAUUGGGAAUAGGGUUUCCACAUAAGAAUUUUGUGGAGACACAAACAUUCAGACCAUAGCAUUUCAUCUAAGUUCAAUUUUUAUUUUACUGCUUGAGACAAAAGGUACCUAACACAAGAAAGAAAAGGAUUUAAUCUGUAUAGAGUUAUCAUUGAAUCUUUUAAAUUUUUUACUUUCAAACAUAAGAUACUUAAUAGCUGACUCCAAAUAUACUAUUAAUUUUAUUUACUUUUGACUAAGUGAUAGUAAACACAAUAACAUUUGCAAAAUUGCCAGUAAACAGAUGCUAGUUGAAUUUUUUUUCUAUCUUAUCUUCUCAAGUUGAAGUAAAUUAAGAUAUCAUAUAGAGCAGUGCUUUUUAAUCUAAUUGAAGUAGAAGACUUUUUUUAUUUAUUUGUUUUCUUCUUUAAUUCCCAAUUGAUCAUAGACUAGGCCAUUUUUUUUUUUUUUUUUUUUUUGUAGAGUACAGAGAGAGAGAGAGAUAAUGUGCAUGUGCUUGGAUUUUACACUGAAAUCAUUCUAGAAAUUUCUAAAUGCUUCCUCUCAAAUUUUGUACUAAUUGUAUGACAGGCUAGUAGCAGUUUGUUGAUUGAUUGAAAUUGUGUAAUAUUAGAAAUAAUGCCAGAGAAUAUUGUAUUAAAAACUAUUUGCUCUAAAGCUUUUCCCUCCAAUAGCUCUAUGACACCUUGGAAUUCUCUAGUGAAGGCCUGAGUCUUAUUCGUUGUAUCCAUAACUUAAACUGAAAACUGCCUGAGACAUAGUAAGUUACUAAAAACUAUUAGUAGCUUGAAUAUAUAAAUUAAAUAAUCAAAGUAGUUUCAAAAUGCUCAAGAAUCCUGAACUUCCCUGCCUUGGGAGAACCAGUUACUAUGGUAUUAUAAAAAUGACAACAACAACAAAAGUGAAUAUAUUUAAUUACUUACCUCAAAUUCUAUAUACCUCAGGAAUACUUGGAAUUGAAUUAAAAUAACUUUCGGCCCUUAAAGGCCAUUUGUAGAUGAAGUGGGUUAACCUAGACUGUGAAAAUGGAAGGGCCUUAGGAUAAUCAAGCCUGUGUUAAUUCCAGUGGCAGACCCUCUUGUGGCACAUUCUAGCCUGAACUUUCACAGGACACUUCCUUUUCUUUCAAAUGGGCACACUGAUACUUACCUUGUGUAUUAGCCUGCUAGGGCUGCCAUAUUGGAGCAACACAUUUUUUUUUUCCUCUGACCAUGUGCAAUCGUGUUUGUCUCUCCCAUCUCAUAAGCAUACAAAUCUUAUUGGAUUAAGACCUUAUCUUAAAAAUCUAAUUUAACGUUAGUUACCUUCAUAAAGGCCUUGUCACUAAAUACAGUCAAAUUGCAGAUUACAGCUUCAAUUUAUGAAUUUUGGAGAAGGCUUUCAAUAUAGUUCACAACAGUUUGGUAAAUUGUUGUGAAAAGUUAGAGAUAAUCCAUAAGAAGCAUGUUUCAUAGUAUUCACUCCAUAUUGACCUGUCAUUAAGUUAUUACCAUUACUAAUGAAAUGUAUUGUUACACUAGGUAUUGGUUGUUAACCAAUGCAAAGUGAUGCAUUAUGUAUUUGCAAACUUCCUUAAAAACAAAUACAAUUAAAUGAGAGUUUUAAUAAAGUAGAAAAAUGUAAGUUUUUUCAAAAAGGAGUAAUAUCCAUGUUUACUCUAAGGCUACAUGAGAGUUGAGUACAUGAGAAAAGAACAUUAAUGAUACUAAUGAUAACAGCAAUGGUUUAAAUUGGCAGAUUUUAAAGGAUAAAGUGAUGGUCUAGGUUAUCUGAUCUCACAGUUAAUGACAUUGACAUCUUAACCUUGCCUUAACACAGUAGCAAGUAUCCAAACUCGCUGAAGAUUUAAUUUUUACCAAGUCUUUUUUUUUUUUUUUUUUUUUCAGAAACCAUCAUGAUUACUAAUUGACAAUCAUAUUUUAAUCAUGUCUUCAUAGUGGUUUUCUUAUGCAGCAUGAAUAAUUUCAUACCAUCUGUAUUACUCGACUUUCAUAACAAACCUCUGCCAAAGAAUUGAAAACUAAAUGUGCGAAUCUAUUCACUGCACUGAGCUCAUGCAUAAACUACAAGAGAAUGUUUGAGAAGUUAUCUAUGUAUUUGCGUAGGCUUUACAUUUUUUCUUUCAUUCUUUCUUGAGGCUUUUUACUCUGUCACUUUCCCCACCAACCACCAACAUGGCAAGUAGCUGCCUGGGCUCCUAGCUGGUUCCAUCUGUGGACCCUCUGUUUCAAAUUAUUUUUGACUUAUGAGUGGAAGGAAAACUUAAUGGUUUGCUCCAUCCUCUGCCCUGGAAUAAAUUUUUGUGCUUUGGGAAACUUUGCACCACUCUGGCAAUUUUCUGUUUCUUCACUCAAUAUAGGAUUCUAAUUGCGAAGGCCAAAAGCUAACACCAAGUAUCCUAGCAGAGUGGUGAGUGAGUAGUGAAAAAAUUACUUACCGAUAUAUAUAGUAGUUACUAUUCAGGGCUAUAUUAAUUCUUUCCUAUUUUGAGUACUAAAUUGACAUAGCUUUCAGAUGACAGCUGUGAUUGUCUCAAAAUGUGUUCGUUAUUACAUUUUGAAAUGAUAAAUCUCCCUCUUUCCUGAGGUAGAACGUGCUUCCAGUGCAUCUGUAGUGUUCUCAAAAAGCAGGAAGACAAUGCUCAGAGUGAAUGAACAGUGUUUAUAGAUCUAAAACUCCUUUGAGCUGUAAAGUACAAAGGAUAGAUAUUAUGAUCUAGUGAUAAAAGGAUCAAGUCCAGGGUUUCACCCAGAGGAUUUGGGGCAUAGAACUUAUAGAAACAUAAACCAAAGGACGCAGCCAAACAAUGUUAGGAGGAGUUAGCUAAGUACAGAAAAUUCCCUUAUGCAGAAUGUCUUCUGCUGAUUUUGUCCCCUAACUUUGCAGUUAUAGUCUCUCCCUACCCACUCCCUAUGCAAUAAAAAACCCUUUCCCCCAUAGCGAUUUUAUUCAAAGUGAUUCAAAGUGUUUAGCAUCAAGCAGAUACAGCUAAAUAUUUCCCUGACUACCUGGGUGACUUUGGGCAAGUUUUGUUUCUUUUCAGAGUUCAAGUGUUCCUAACUUGUACAAUAGUGAUGAUGAUAGGAUUUCUCUUCUAUCAUGGUAAUGGGAUCAAAUGGGUUAUUAUAUGGAAAGUGUUUACAAGUUUCUUAGCACAUAGUAGGUACCAAAUAGUGUCCAUAAAUACCUGCUAUUUUCAUGUGGAGAGAAACACAUAACUAUUUUUUUAAGACUUUAGCCUUUCUUUUGUCACCUGGAUCUAAGCUAUCUUGGUCCAAUGGCUUUAUUUUUCACCAGCGGGUCACUGCAUAUUCCUUUUGCCACAGAGUGUACAAUUGCUAUGAGCACUGGUUCAUGACUUCCCUGGGUAGUUGGAAUCAAGCUUCAAGAUGAGUGUAUCUAAUAGAUAACAGUAACUUUCAUUGCAACAGUCUCUCACUUAUAUAAGCUCAGAUAAAUGUCACUAGCACCUAUUCCAAGUUCCCAUAAAAAGGGGAAGCGGCAAUAGUAGGCUCUCCUGGUGAACAUUCUCAAGUGGAUCCAGCUAUACCUGACCCCUGCAUGUCUCCCCAUAGACAAUAGAACCUAUCAUGCCACAGGCAGCAACAAACUUUCUGCCUGAGAUCACAAAUGUGUUUCCUGUUUCUUCAAGACCUUUGUUUGACUCAUUAUGAUCAUCAUCAUUAUCGUCUUUACCAUCACCAUUAUCAUCAUUAGCAGCAGCAGUAGCAGCAGCAAAACCACCAUCACCAUUGGUACACUGUAAAAAAUGUCCUAUGCAUUGUGAAAAGAAUGGAAAUAUGUGACACUUUGUCUUUAUCUUCUAGGUGCUUAUAUAUUAGGUGAUAAUAACAUCAUAGUAAUAAGCCUUAACACGCAUGACACUGGUUCAAACCAGCUCGUGGUCCUCCAUCUCCAAUAUGUAACUGCCUAUUGAAACAGUCUACUUGGCUGCCCAACAGGCAAUGCAGAGCAUAUAAAGACAAAACUGAACACUUAGCCCUUUUCCAUCUCUCAUUCCUGGUAUCUUCUAGUUUCCUAUGUUAGUAAACAGCAUCCCUCUGCAAUUGAGUGCCCAUAUUCAGAAUUAUGGACAAUCCUUAAUUCCUCUAUUGUUAUAAUAUACAUUGACUAUAUCAGGAAGUGCUAUUAGCUCCAACCACAAAGUAUAUUUUGCGUUUUUUUUAAUUCCCUCCAUCUCUACUACGAUUACCCUAGCCUAAGUCAACAUCAUCUCCUGGUCUGACUCCCUGCUUCCAUCCUUCACUUACGACAUUCCAUUCAUUAUCUACUAUGAGAUAAUAAUACUUUUUUAAGAAGCCGUUAUAAUUAAAACAUAAUAAAUUGCCAUUACACUUAAAAUAAAAUCAAAAUUUCUGAUUUUCAUUGUAAGAUCUCAUGACCUGGCUCUUCUUACCAUAUUAAAUCUAUGUUUUAGGGGCUUCAUCUUUACUUAAAAAGUCUGGCCAGACUGGCUUCCUUUCUGUCUCUGAAUUGUAGAAAGCUCAUUCUCAACUCAGAGACUUUACACUUGCUAUUCCCUUUGUCUGAAUGCUUUCAUCUCCUUACCACCUAUCAGGGUCUUUCUCUUUCUGCAGUUGUGAGCUCAGAUAUUACCUUAACAGGAGAUCUCCAAAUUCCACCUUCCUGGUUAAAGCUGCUCUCCACUAUCUACCACAUCGGUCAUUAAAAUUUGUAAUUUUCUCUUCUCAUAUUCAUUUACUCUUUUUUUUUUUUUUUUUUUUUUUUGAGACAGAGUCUUGCUCUGUCACCCAGGCUGGAGUGCAAUGACUUGAUCUAGGCUCACUGCAACCUCUGCCUUCCAGGUUCAAGUGAUUCUCCUGCCUCAGCCUCCCGAGUAGCUGGGAUUACAGUACAUUAUCCACCUGAAUUGAAGAAGCAGAACCAGCCAGAAGAGGAAACACUGUAAUAAAAUUAAGAUCUGGACUCUAAUUCUGUUUUAUUUUCUCAACGUAUAAACCAUGAGUAAAUUGUUAAUCUUAAAAGAAAAUGUUUUUCUUCCAUUGUUCCUUUGUAAAGUGGACAUGAUCACACCUGUGUUCAGAAGGAACUGAUUCAGAGCUUGGUGCUGAAGGUAACAAAGCUAUCUGUGUUUGAUCAAGAUUCAAACCCUCAAUGUCUGAGAAAAGCAUCAUAUUCUUUAUCCAAGUGGACUUUGUAUAGAUGCAACAAAAUAUUCAUUCAAAUAUUUUCUAAAGUGCCAGGUCGCUUGAAGUUUACUUAUACUACUAUAGAUUUUAAGCUGCAUUUCACUGUAGAUAAUGCAAAGACAAUUAAAAGAACAGACAAUAAGCAGAUAAAGAGGCAUUAUUUUAUUACUAUGAAAGUUAAUAUGUCAUUUGUCACUGAAAUAGACAUGUCUUUAAUUUGCUUGGCAAAAGAGUGAGUAUAAGGUCUGAAUGUUUAAUCUCCCUAAAGUGUUCAUCACAUUGCAACAGAUUUAAUCUAUUCUCCAUCCAGAAAGACCACCUACAAACAAAGCAAUUACAAUUUGUUGUUUUACAGAUAAUAAAAUAAUUAGGUAUGCCAAGCAUAGGAAAGUAUGUAAUUUUACUGCCGUUUGUAAAAGAUGAUUAGAAGGAAUGCUCCACGGGCACUUCAGAAUUAAUUGAGAGGAACCAGGUACAGAUUUGAUUACUGGUAAUGCUUUUUGGAAGAAUCAGGAAUUUAGAAGCUAUUAAUAAUGAUUGUAAAGAUAAAGUUGGAGAAAGACGUGUUACAGAUGGGAAAAAGUUAUUGUUUUGCAGGGAAGAGUACAGAAUCACCCUUUAUGAUGCUUUGAAAUUCAGUCUAUCUUUGGUUUGGUAUAGAAAUUUGCAGAAAAUAGGUAACUAAAGAUACAUCAUAAGCAGGUUAACAAAUAAUGAUGAAACUGAAAAAACAUUUAUAAUGCUAAUAUUAUAACAACAACAAUUAUUAAUAUGGAGAAAACUACCAAAAGAGGCUGAAAUAUAAGGAGACAUCUUUUUUGGCUUAUUUUGUUUUUGUGUAAUGACCUGAACAAAUUCUCUUUGUAAUUUAAGUAGAAAUAAAAGCUUUAAAACCCUCUGAGGAUAUUUUAGUAGAAUCCUUCAAUGUCCUCCAAAAUCCAUUCUUUAUAGGCAGUAACAGUAUUAAAAAAAAUCAGUUUUCUAGCUUGAAAUACCUAUGGUAAUACUGUGGAUUAUUUUUAGUCAAUUCUAACUGAUGUUAUUUUUGAGAACAUAAAAGAAGUUUAUUGUGUGAUAAAAUUGGAAACCACAAGAUAUGUAUUAUGUCAGAAAGUGAUGGCAGAUAAAUGUCUGAUAAGAAUAUCUAUUAUAAAGGGAGAUGGAACUGAAAUAUAAUAGACAAGAGCCAUUUAAGAAAAUAAAUUACAUCUUAUUCAACAUUUUUGUGGUCUACCUCUUUGCCUCAGAUAUUAUAUGCUCUAUUUCUGUUCAUAAAAUGUUAUUUAAUGCAGUAUAAAGGUUCUCAUCUACCAUUCUAUAUUUUUUUGCAUCACAGCACAAUAUUAUCUGAAGACUGCCUGCUGAUAGGAGAGCAUGUUCAUUCAAUUUUUUAAGCAAUAUUAUUUUCUUUCGGAGAUAUGCAUAAAGAAGAC
This 19944-nucleotide long non-coding RNA is filed under the name Homo sapiens (human). Its description in RNAcentral is "non-protein coding lnc-STIM2-12:4". Lineage: Eukaryota; Metazoa; Chordata; Mammalia; Primates; Hominidae. The record is from RNAcentral.